CAGAGACUGCAAGCGUUAUUCGGAUUCACUGGGCGUAAAGGGUGCGCAGGCGGUCGUGUGUGUCAGGUGUGAAAUCCCGGAGCUUAACUCCGGAACUGCGCCUGAAACUACAUGACUAGAGCAUUGGAGAGGGAAGUGGAAUUCAUGGUGUAGCAGUGAAAUGCGUAGAUAUCAUGAGGAACACCAGAGGCGAAGGCGACUUCCUGGACAAUUGCUGACGCUCAGGCACGAAAGCAUGGGGAGCAAAAGGGAUUAGAUACCCCUGUAGUCCAUGCCCUAAACGGUGCACACUAGGUCUUGGAGGAUUCGACCCCUUCAGGGCCCAAGCUAACGCGUUAAGUGUGCCGCCUGAGGACUACGGUCGCAAGACUA
RNAcentral lists this ribosomal RNA (372 nucleotides) under uncultured organism. Its description in RNAcentral is "bacterial SSU rRNA". It matches the Rfam family "Bacterial small subunit ribosomal RNA", at positions 526 to 896 of the family's 1533-position model. The record is from RNAcentral.